GUGUCAGCAGCCGCGGUAAGACGAACCGUGCGAACGUUGUUCGGAAUCACUGGGCUUAAAGGGCGCGUAGGCGGCUCGCGAGGUCGGGGGUGAAAUCCCGCGGCUCAACCGCGGAAGGGCCUCCGAUACCGGCGGGCUGGAGGGAGGUAGGGGUGCGCGGAACUUCUGGUGGAGCGGUGAAAUGCGUUGAUAUCAGAAGGAACGCCGGCGGCGAAAGCGGCGCACUGGACCUCUACUGACGCUGAGGCGCGAAAGCCAGGGGAGCAAACGGGAUUAGAUACCCCGGUAGUCC
This 292-nucleotide ribosomal RNA is filed under the name uncultured bacterium. Its description in RNAcentral is "partial 16S ribosomal RNA". It matches the Rfam family "Bacterial small subunit ribosomal RNA", at positions 505 to 796 of the family's 1533-position model. The record is from RNAcentral.